Molecule: ribosomal RNA, 424 nt
Filed under: uncultured bacterium
Lineage: Bacteria
Description: bacterial SSU rRNA
Rfam family: Bacterial small subunit ribosomal RNA
Source: RNAcentral
AGGGAAUCUUCCGCAAUGGACGAAAGUCUGACGGAGCAACGCCGCGUGAGUGAGGAAGGCCUUCGGGUCGUAAAGCUCUGUUGCCAGGGAAGAACGUGCGUGGGAGUAACUGCCCGCGUAAUGACGGUACCUGAGAAGAAAGCCCCGGCUAACUACGUGCCAGCAGCCGCGGUAAUACGUAGGGGGCAAGCGUUGUCCGGAAUUAUUGGGCGUAAAGCGCGCGCAGGCGGCUUUGUAAGUCUUGUGUUUAAACGCGGGGCUCAACCCUGUGUCGCAUGGGAAACUGCAAGGCUUGAGUGGAGAAGAGGAAAGUGGAAUUCCACGUGUAGCGGUGAAAUGCGUAGAGAUGUGGAGGAACACCAGUGGCGAAGGCGACUUUCUGGGCUGUAACUGACGCUGAGGCGCGAAAGCGUGGGGAGCAAAC